AGAUGCCCAGUUGGAUUGGAAUUUCAGAUAAACAAUGCAUCACUUUUUUAGGAUCAGUAUGUCCCAUGCAAUAUUUGGGACAUACUUAUACUAAAAAAAUACCCAUUUUCAACUGAAAAUCAACUUUAACUGGAAUCCUGUAUUUU
RNAcentral lists this microRNA precursor (146 nucleotides) under Choloepus hoffmanni (Hoffmann's two-fingered sloth). RNAcentral's name for it is "miRNA (ENSCHOG00000014359.1)". The stretch from base 45 to 96 matches the Rfam family "mir-1302 microRNA precursor family". The record is from RNAcentral. Lineage: Eukaryota; Metazoa; Chordata; Mammalia; Pilosa; Megalonychidae.